Molecule: long non-coding RNA, 368 nt
Filed under: Mytilus galloprovincialis (Mediterranean mussel)
Lineage: Eukaryota; Metazoa; Mollusca; Bivalvia; Mytilida; Mytilidae
Source: RNAcentral
AAAAUAUACUGGCUUUCAAAUACAUGUACUCCAUUUGCACAUUAUUGUAAUGCUCAUUCACUCCUUUCAAAGUUUUUCGGGAUUUUGAAUGGGUAAUUGGAUAAGAGAUGUUGAAGGUAUUUUUGUACAAAAAAGGGAUGAAGAUACCAGUCAAACUCAUAAAUCGAAAAUAAAUUGACAACGCCAUGAAAAUGAAAAAGGCAAACAAACAAAAUAUAGUACACAUGUCACAACACAGAAAACUAAAAAAUAAGCAACAAAAACCCCACCAAAAACUAGGGGUGAUCUCAGGUGCUUCGGAAGGUAAGCAGAUCCUGCUCUACAUGUGGCACCCGUCGUAUUGUUUUUGUACAGGUAGCACUCCACAG